Molecule: RNA transcript, 5006 nt
Organism: Falco peregrinus (peregrine falcon)
Lineage: Eukaryota; Metazoa; Chordata; Aves; Falconiformes; Falconidae
Gene: CYTH4
Gene name: cytohesin 4
Exons: 16
Source: RefSeq, a predicted model, not a curated record
UGUGGAUUUGCAUUUCAGAAGUAGCCAAGAAGCCCCUGUUAGCUCACAGCGGUAUGCAUAUACAGUUUCCUUCACUGAUGCAAGCUCAAGAGAUGUGGUCGAGGGACGAGGUGAGGAAGGGCGGAGUCACGGGGCAACCCGCCCCCCCUAAUGCUGCUACAGUCUUGGUCACUGGCUCCAAGUUGUUUCAGUUCUGUGAAGGAUCUGAAUGAGCAGAAGAAGGCAAGGAGGAACAACACUUUUGUUGAAAAGUAUUGCACUCUUCAGGAUGGACUUUUGUCCUGCUGGGUCAACUGACUUGAGUGAGGCUGAAGAGGCUGAAAUAGAGACAAUCAGGCAGCACAGACAGGAGCUUUUGGAGGACAUUAAGAAGCUGAAAGAAGAGAUUGCUGAAGUGUUUGCGGAGAUUGAGUGCUUCCAAAAUGCAAAGGAGAGGCAAGAGGCAGACAGUAAUCCUGGGGAGCAGACCAGCAAACUAUCACAGAAGGAUAAACUUCUGUCCCUGGGCCGGAAGAAAUUCAACGUGGACCCUGCGAAGGGGAUCCAGUACCUGAUUGAGCACAAGGUAUUGUCCUCAAACCUGCAGGAGAUUGCCAAAUUCCUCCACAAUGGUGAAGGCCUGAACAAGACAGCCAUUGGGGACUACCUGGGUGGGAGGGACCCCACAAACAUUCAGAUCCUCCAAGCUUUUGUGGCGUGUCACCAGUUUGCCAACCUCAACCUGGUGCAGGCGCUGAGGCAGUUCCUAUGGAGCUUCCGCCUGCCUGGAGAAGCGCAGAAGAUUGACCGGAUGAUGGAGGCCUUUGCCAGCUGGUACUGCAAGUGUAAUCCAGGAGUGUUCCAGUCCACAGAUACCUGUUAUAUACUCUCCUUCUCUAUCAUCAUGCUCAACACCAGUCUGCACAACCCCAAUGUGAAAGACAAACCCCCCUUUGAAACAUUUGUAUCCAUCAACAGAGGCAUUGACAAUGGGGGGGACCUGCCAGAAGAGCUCUUAAAGAAUCUGUUUGAGAGCAUAAAGAAUGAGCCAUUCUCCAUUCCAGAGGAUGACGGGAAUGACCUCACACAUACUUUCUUCAACCCUAGCCGUGAGGGCUGGCUCCUGAAACUAGGAGGACGUGUGAAAACCUGGAAACGCCGUUGGUUCAUUCUGACUGAUAAUUGCCUGUACUACUUUGAGUAUACCACGGACAAAGAGCCUCUGGGCAUUAUCCCCCUGGAGAAUCUAUCAGUCCGGAAGGUGGAUGAUCCUAAAAAGCCAAACUGCUUUGAGCUCUUCAAUCCUAACUGCAAAGGGCAGAAGAUCAAAGCCUGCAAAACAGAUGCGGAUGGGAAAGUGGUUGAAGGCAAGCAUCAGUCCUAUAAGAUCUCAGCAGUCACACCAGCAGAACGUGAUGAAUGGAUUGAGGCAAUAAGGACCAGUAUCACACAGGAUCCUUUCUAUGAUCUGGUCUCUGCCCGUAAGAAAAAGAUUGCCAGCAAAAACUGAGCCCUGACCUGGGCACUGGCAGCAGGAAGAUGUAGUUGUUGGACUUCCCUCCCACACUGGGCUCUUCCAGUGAAGAAAUUUGGGAGCAUUGGUUCCCUCUGCCUCCCACUUGGCAGGAAGAUGACUGACAGGACAACUUGCCAGAUUUGCUUCUUCCCUUUCCAAACUGAAGGCAGAGGCACAGUGUGCAGUCCACUGAGAACUGUCAGAACCAUGGGCAUGGCGUUUCUUAUGUCCAAACUUAAAGGCUCAACAGCAACUGGCCUUUGGAUUUUCCCAUAUAGCCCCAGGCAUGUAAGACAGGAUGUGAGAGGAGACAAGAAUGUCUCCAGAAUGCCUCUCCUGCCAUCAAACCAGGCCUGGGUAUUUUGCUGUGAGGAACCCUGUAGAUGCUCUCAGAGCAUGGUUCAGUCAGUUGCAGAGCAGAAAAAGCACCAAUGGUUUCUCUUCCAUGAACAGAGAUGUGUAGUGGUUGUGGAGACGGGGCCACUGAUACUAAGAUCUCACUGUGAAACCAGAGGCCAAGGGAAGAUAAGAAGCCCCCUGUCUGGAAGAGAGCCUUCCCUACCUCUUCCUAUAGCUGAGAGGGCUGUAAUCCUGGGAGGUCCCUGCUCUGUAACUGAGUCAUAGGUUUUAAAACAUUAAAGAUGUUGGAUAGAGAGAUAAGGGGUAAAUGAGUGUAGAGAGGCUGUGGGACCAGGGAAGUAGCUCUGAGUCUUUUGUCUCUCUGUUUUGAGACCCAGGGACCACCACAGGUCUCCCUAGGGAAGUAAUCCAAACACUAGCUCUCCUCCUGGCUGAUGGCUCCCCAACAGAGGUUGCUUCCUUGUGCUGCCCCAGAGGCCUGGGCUGUGUAUCUGAAAAGCCUGCAGCCAGAAGACAUGAAAAACUGGAGGUGCAUACACACCACACACACAAGUGCAAGUGCAUACACACACACACACACAGACAUUCCCACCUUCAGACUGGUCAUCUGGAGUCUGGGUUUUUUUUUGUCUCUUGAGUAAAGAAAGAAAUAAAAGUGCCUGAAAUAAACCAAAACUCAGCGUAACAUGAUGGUUUUAGUGAUAAAAGCAGAGGAAAGCAGAGGAAGUGAGAUAAGUGUCAUGUUCCUGUGCCUAGCCAAGCAGCCUGGGCACCAGCGCAGCUCUGCACUGCACCCAAAAUGCAGGCGGGCUGAGUGCUGGCACAAGCUGGGCAGUGCGGGACAGAGGAGUAAAGGUGCAGGGAGCUGCAGCCCUGCAAACUGGGAACAGCACGGAGGCCAAUGCCGGGGGCUCCAGAGGCAAUUACACCUGCAGGGUUAAAGGACGUGGUAAGCUAUUGCUAUUUCCUCUGUCACCUUUUGGAUCUCUUCUAGUAAGCACUGGUGCUGCCUCAGUCUCUUGCAUUUUUCCUUCCUGCAGAGGGCUGUAUCUACCCGGCAAUCUGCAGCAGGGCCAGCACAGCCUAAUUAUUCAUUCUAGUUAUUUUUGCCCAAGCCACAGGAAUGCUGAAUUAAUUUCAAGAGGCAGGGAGUGUAUCUCAGAGUUGAAGCACGUGCUUACCCUGGAGAAGAAACAUGAAGGUUUUCUUCUGCUUGUGUCUGCAAAUGUCUCCUGUGUUGAAUCUUUUUGUUGCUGGUGUGAUACAGGGGGGUGAAUGCCCUUGGUGAUAGGAGCUCAUGAACAAAUGGAAGCCUGUAGGAAGGCAAGACUCUGCAAGCAAGUUGGCUGGGAGUGGUGUUCGGUGGCAGGGUGGGAGCACCCAUCUGAUAUACUGUCCAUUCCUGGCAAGCCUGAAACUGUUCAGCUGGUUAUCACACACCUUUCAGUGCAAAGGGAAAAUCAAGCAGCUCUUUUCUGCUAGCUAAACGGGGUUAUCUGGAGUGGGACUGCUAGCCUUUAACUCUCUCUGUGGUACACACCUCAGCCCUCCACAGCAGUGCAGGGAUUGCCACCAAGCGGGGUUGACAAGUUUGCCAGUUUGUACCAUACAUAAAUCUGGAAGACUAGAAGGCUAUCACAAGGGCCACAGAGGGAUGGGAGCCAGCCUUCAUACCCUCUGAGACUGGUCAUUUGCGUGGAAAGAAGCACAGUCCUGCUGUAUUGGAGCUGGUUUGAAUGGUGCAGUCAGAUUUGUGGGUCCAACAGGAGCAGUUCCUCCUGUCUCCCAUCCCUUAUGUGAUACUGUCUUCAUCAAACAGGCAGAAGCCAGCUAUUGAUCUUAGCAGAAUGAGAUAGUAUUUGCAAUGUCUCCUAUCAACAUAGUGUUCAGGCACCAGGCAGAAAAAUCCCUGGGACUGCAAAAAAGCCUGGAACUGCUUCUGCUGCAUAUGGAUAUGCUAAAGUCCCCUGGGACAGGCCAGAAAUUUUCCUCUCCCAAGCCACAGCCUGCUCAAGAACAGCAUGUAAGUUCAGACCUGGAGUACAGAGGAUGAUGAGUAGAGUGAGAACUGUUGCUGUCUCGCCUCUUUGUCCUCUGGUUUUGUCCUUAGUACUGAGAUUGUUGCAAGACCAUCUCAUUGUCUCUGUCCUCUUCCCUCACUCCACUCCUUACAACAGCACUCUUCUGACAGAUUUUGAUGGUGAGGUUGGAAGGAAAGACAGUUGGGUCUGGAUUGCUUAAGGGUACUUGAGAGUGGCAGGACUUCAUGCCCUAUUGCCUACAAGCCAAGAUCAGUGUUGGGGUACAAAGUGACACGUGAGAGAUGUCUGGAUACAGUGAUGCAAAGAGAAUGAGCAGAUGACACAACAAGGAGGAGGCAGGAAGAGCUGUGGAGUCCUGCUAGCUCCCUGUGAUGGUACUGGGUCAGGGUGUCACAACGGAGCCAGGCAGGAGCAAAUGGGCAAAGCGGGAUCUAGGCCUUUCUCUGAGAAAACCAAAGAAGAGCAAAAUCACCAGACUGCAAGGCCUUUUCAGCAGAUAUGCCAGGCAAAUCUCAGGACAAGGAUGAGCUGCAGAACCAGGCAUACCACUAAGAGCCUGAUGCCUACUUAGGCACCUAAAUUCCCAUUGCAUUGGAAGGGACUGUAACAGUGAAUACUAGGGCCAUUUGUCACUCCCUCACCCUGGUUUCUAAGGGCUGGAUUAGCACAGAGACAGACAGACAGAGCGAAUGAAGCAGCUCUGAAUUAAUCUCCAGUUUAGCAACAUGUUCUUUUUAUCCUCGGGAAGGAUUAGAUAGUGCCUUGGUGCUGACCUCUAAGCUCUACCUGCUGCUCCUCCAGGCAGCCCAAGGUUGAUUUGCCUUGGAUUUGAGGCAACUGCUGUCAAGAAUAUAAAGCUCAAGAGGUGAGUAACAGGCCUUCUCCUGAGAUAUUUUUUUCUCCCAGCUACCCUGUCAGCUUCUGCAGCUUUAAACCCAAUGAAGGAAUGAGUAAUUUUUUUCUAAUGAUUGAGAGAAGGUAGAUAAGAGGUAGGUCUUCAAAUUAAGAAUCCAAGACUUGAUUGCAGCUCUUAUCAUAUUUUUCCAUUUUUUCCCCCUUCUUCCGAAUAGAAAAUAAAUUGCUUCAAUAAAUUACAUCUUUAAUCUGCA